Molecule: long non-coding RNA, 814 nt
Filed under: Oryza sativa (Asian cultivated rice)
Lineage: Eukaryota; Viridiplantae; Streptophyta; Magnoliopsida; Poales; Poaceae
Description: long non-coding RNA (OSAT_LNC000531)
Source: RNAcentral
GGUUACACGCCAUCCGGUCCAAAAUAUGGCGCAUAGGAGAGAACAACUCGUUUCCAGCGGAUAGAUCAUCGAGCCAUCCAGAUCAUUGGAGAAACUUCUGAAGCAAAAGCCCAGCAUGUUGGGACAAGGUAGCAGUAGAGUAUCGCUAUUGAAAACUAAAAUAGAUGUUACAUAUCCUUUAUCGUUUUAUGACAGUGCUUGUCAGUCGCAGAUAUAGAUAUUCCAGCCUUGCCGGCUUAUGUUUGAGCGUAUUGGCGCAACUUAUGCGCACUUAUAGCUUGAAGAAAGUAAAUUUGGUGCAAUUAUCCCAACUUAUGUUCAUUUGAUAGCUUGAAGAAAGUAAAUUUGCUGCAAUUGAAAUUAAUUGUUGUGAUAUAGUGUGUCUCUCUCCUCACACUAUACCACAACUAUCGCGUAUAGAGCUCCCACCUCCAUAUAGACUUACGCGACCUCCCCUUCUUAUUUCAAGUAGGUUGUGUUCUAUAGGAAAGGACGAAGAGUAGUUUUUCAUGCGCAAUUUCGCCUUGUGUUUUUUUAAAAAAAUUUCUAUAUGGAAGUUGUAAAAAACUUAUUGAUAUAUUGUUUCAGUUCACAAUCCUCACAAAUAAUGCAGUAAGCACUUAUUAAAGCAGUUUAUAAUUUCAAUCCAAUUUCUAGCAAAAGGAUCAUUGAUUUUAUACUUAUCACGAGAAGUUCACUGAAAUUACAUUCUUAGGAGAAGCAGCGUAUACACACGGAUAAAACACGGAGAAAAUCUUUACGAGAGAUGGUUGGUGUUUGGGAGGCAAGAACGGCCGGCGGCGGGGCGGCCAUU